CCGACCUUAGCUCAGUUGGUAGAGCGGAGGACUGUAGUUUGUUUGAACAGAUAAUCCUUAGGUCGCUGGUUCAAAUCCGGCAGGUCGGA
This 89-nucleotide transfer RNA is filed under the name Vigna radiata var. radiata (mung bean). RNAcentral describes it as "tRNA tRNA-Tyr". It matches the Rfam family "tRNA". Rfam says of the family: Transfer RNA (tRNA) molecules are approximately 80 nucleotides in length. Their secondary structure includes four short double-helical elements and three loops (D, anti-codon, and T loops). Further hydrogen bonds mediate the characteristic L-shaped molecular structure. tRNAs have two regions of fundamental functional importance: the anti-codon, which is responsible for specific mRNA codon recognition, and the 3' end, to which the tRNAs corresponding amino acid is attached (by aminoacyl-tRNA synthetases). tRNAs cope with the degeneracy of the genetic code in two manners: having more than one tRNA (with a specific anti-codon) for a particular amino acid; and 'wobble' base-pairing, i.e. permitting non-standard base-pairing at the 3rd anti-codon position. Lineage: Eukaryota; Viridiplantae; Streptophyta; Magnoliopsida; Fabales; Fabaceae. The record is from Rfam by way of RNAcentral.